RNAcentral lists this ribosomal RNA (253 nucleotides) under uncultured bacterium. RNAcentral describes it as "partial 16S ribosomal RNA". It matches the Rfam family "Bacterial small subunit ribosomal RNA", at positions 524 to 776 of the family's 1533-position model. The record is from RNAcentral.
UACGUAGGGUGCAAGCGUUAAUCGGAAUUACUGGGCGUAAAGCGCGCGUAGGCGGUUUGUUAAGUCAGCUGUGAAAGCCCCGGGCUCAACCUGGGAACUGCAGUUGAUACUGGCCGACUGGAGUACGAGAGAGGGAGGUAGAAUUCCAUGUGUAGCGGUGAAAUGCGUAGAUAUAUGGAGGAAUACCGGUGGCGAAGGCGGCCUCCUGGCUCGAUACUGACGCUGAGGUGCGAAAGCGUGGGGAUCAAACAGG